GAUGAAGAACGUAGCGAAAUGCGAUAAGUAAUGUGAAUUGCAGAAUUCAGUGAAUCAUCGAAUCUUUGAACGCACAUUGCGCCCCCUGGUAUUCCGGGGGGCAUGCCUGUCCGAGCGUCAUUACAACCCUCAAGCUCAGCUUGGUAUUGGGCCCCGCCGACCCGGCGGGCCCUAAAGUCAGUGGCGGUGCCGUCCGGCUCCGAGCGUAGUAAUUCUUCUCGCUCUGGAGGUCCGGUCGUGUGCUCGCCAGCAACCCCCAAUUUUUUUCAGGUUGACCUCGGAUCAGGUAGGGAUACCCGCUGAACUUAAGCAUAUCAAAGCGGAGGA
RNAcentral lists this unclassified non-coding RNA (327 nucleotides) under soil metagenome. RNAcentral's name for it is "partial contains 5.8S ribosomal RNA, internal transcribed spacer 2, and large subunit ribosomal RNA". The stretch from base 1 to 120 matches the Rfam family "5.8S ribosomal RNA", at positions 35 to 154 of the family's 154-position model. The record is from RNAcentral.